AUUGAACGCUGGCGGCGUGCCUAACACAUGCAAGUCGAGCGGUAACAGGUGUAGCAAUACAUGCUGACGAGCGGCGGACGGGUGAGUAACGCUUGGGAAUCUGCCUAUUAGUGGGGGACAACCCGGGGAAACUCGGGCUAAUACCGCAUACGCACUACGGUGGAAAGCCGGGGACCGCAAGGCCUGGCGCUAACAGAUGAGCCCAAGUCGGAUUAGCUAGUUGGUAGGGUAACGGCCACCAAGGCGACGAUCCGUAACUGGUCUGAGAGGACGACCAGUCACACCGGAACUGAGACACGGUCCGGACUCCUACGGGAGGCAGCAGUGGGGAAUAUUGGACAAUGGGCGAAAGCCUGAUCCAGCGACGCCGCGUGGGUGAAGAAGGCCUGCGGGUUGUAAG
This 400-nucleotide ribosomal RNA is filed under the name uncultured bacterium. RNAcentral's name for it is "bacterial SSU rRNA". It matches the Rfam family "Bacterial small subunit ribosomal RNA", at positions 29 to 429 of the family's 1533-position model. The record is from RNAcentral.